Vigna umbellata (rice bean) is the source of this 522-nucleotide non-coding RNA. The record is from RefSeq and is a predicted model, not a curated record. NCBI's taxonomy places the organism in Eukaryota, Viridiplantae, Streptophyta, Magnoliopsida, Fabales, Fabaceae.
UGUAGCCACUAUGAAACUGCUUUCUUUGUCUUUAUUAACAUUCGGCAUUUCAGAUAAACUGCGUUCCAAUCUCUUCAUUAGAGACGAGGAAAGAAAACUGUAGAACAUGAACAUGAACAUGCGAGGGAACCAUACAGUAUUCAAGCCAUAAUUCAUAUACUCACCCAGGUUACCACCACCUUCCAAGUGGCACGGAGACUUACAGGAUUGGACUGGGAGGAGGUACUUGUGGGAAAGGGAGAACUCUCGUUCUGGCAGACUGGUUUCGGACUCCACACAGGGUGAGUACCAGAUGUUGCGUAGAACACUGAAGUGAAAACAUUACCAUGUCCCUUGGACUUAAGAUCGGAAACAACCCCUGAAACAGGUUUUUAUUUGAGCCACCAUACUGACAACAAUUUCCAGAAGUAGUUCGAGACAAUUUAUGGGAUUCGUGAGAAUCCCAACUGGGGUUGUUUACUUCGGCGGAUGUAAUUGAUGGUGUUCGAAAAAGAGGGUGCACCAAUUUACUAUUACUAUACC